RNAcentral lists this ribosomal RNA (279 nucleotides) under uncultured bacterium. RNAcentral describes it as "partial 16S ribosomal RNA". It matches the Rfam family "Bacterial small subunit ribosomal RNA", at positions 506 to 784 of the family's 1533-position model. The record is from RNAcentral.
UGCCAGCCGCCGCGGUAAUACGAAGGGUGCUAGCGUUGUUCGGAAUUACUGGGCGUAAAGAGCAUGUAGGCGGAUGAAUUAGUCAGAGGUGAAAGCCCCGAGCUCAACUUGGGAACUGCCUUUGAAACUGGAUGGCUUGAGUACUGGAGGGGGUGGUGGAAUUCCCGGUGUAGAGGUGAAAUUCGUAGAUAUCGGGAGGAAUACCGGUGGCGAAGGCGACCACCUGGCCAGAUACUGACGCUGAGGUGCGAAAGCGUGGGGAGCAAACCGGAUUAGAUA